This 76-nucleotide transfer RNA is filed under the name Acinetobacter sp. RNAcentral describes it as "tRNA-Val". It matches the Rfam family "tRNA". From Rfam's summary of the family: Transfer RNA (tRNA) molecules are approximately 80 nucleotides in length. RNAcentral also lists the same sequence under 33 other names. Lineage: Bacteria; Pseudomonadati; Pseudomonadota; Gammaproteobacteria; Moraxellales; Moraxellaceae. The record is from RNAcentral.
GGGCGUUUAGCUCAGUUGGUAGAGCGUCUCCCUUACAAGGAGAGGGUCAGAAGUUCGAGUCUUCUAACGCCCACCA